This is a small nuclear RNA of Pteronotus mesoamericanus, 103 nucleotides long. The record is from RefSeq and is a predicted model, not a curated record. Lineage: Eukaryota; Metazoa; Chordata; Mammalia; Chiroptera; Mormoopidae.
GCACUCGCUUGGCAGCACAUACGCUAAAAUUGGAAUACAGAGAAGAUUAGCAUGGCCCCUGCGCUAGGAUGACAUGCAAAUUUGUGAGGCGUUCAUCUUUUUA